CCUACUGUUCCUGGGCACCAGGAUUGCUCACUGCUACCAUUCGUAAGCAGAGAAGAAAAGCACCUAGAAAAGAAAAAGACCAUGUCUCCCAAUUCCUGCUUGAGCAAAGCAAGGACACAAUUACUGAGAAAGCAGCGACAGUUAUUGUCGAAGGAGAGAUAGACUGAUUACUUUGAUUCUGUUGAUGAAUUCA
Hibiscus syriacus is the source of this 193-nucleotide long non-coding RNA. RefSeq lists it as uncharacterized. The transcript has 3 exons. The record is from RefSeq and is a predicted model, not a curated record. Lineage: Eukaryota; Viridiplantae; Streptophyta; Magnoliopsida; Malvales; Malvaceae.